Molecule: ribosomal RNA, 429 nt
Filed under: Chloroflexota bacterium
Lineage: Bacteria; Bacillati; Chloroflexota
Description: Chloroflexi bacterium partial 16S ribosomal RNA
Rfam family: Bacterial small subunit ribosomal RNA
Source: RNAcentral
UGGGGAAUAUUGCACAAUGGGCGCAAGCCUGAUGCAGCCAUGCCGCGUGUAUGAAGAAGGCCUUCGGGUUGUAAAGUACUUUCAGCGGGGAGGAAGGGAGUAAAGUUAAUACCUCUGCUCAUUGACGUUACCCGCAGAAGAAGCACCUGCUAACUCCGUGCCAGCAGCCGCGGUAAUACGGAGGGUGCAAGCGUUAAUCGGAAUUACUGGGCGUAAAGCGCACGCAGGUGGUUUGUUAAGUCAGAUGUGAAAUCCCCAGGCUCAGCCUGGGAAAUGCAUCUGAUACUGGCCAGCUUGAGUCUCGUAGAGGGGGGUAGAAUUCCGAGAGUGGCAGUGUAAUGCGUAUAUAUCUGUUUGAAAACCGGUGUCGAAGGCGACCCCCUGGACGAAGACUGACGCACAGGUGCGAAAACGUGGGGAGCAAACAGG